UACCAGACUCCUACGGGAGGCAGCAGUGGGGGAUAUUGCACAAUGGGGGGAACCCUGAUGCAGCGACGCCGCGUGGGUGAAGGAGCGUUUCGGCGCGUAAAGCCCUAUCGGCAGGGAAGAAGGAGGACGGUACCUGACUAAGAAGCCCCGGCUAACUACGUGCCAGCAGCCGCGGUAAUACGUAGGGGGCAAGCGUUAUCCGGAUUUACUGGGUGUAAAGGGGGCGCAGACGGCAGCGCAAGCCAGGAGUGAAAGGCCGGGGCUCAACCCCGGGAGUGCAUUUGAAACUGUCCAGCUGGAGUGCAGGAGAGGUAAGCGGAAUUCCUAGUGUAGCGGUGAAAUGCAUAGAUAUUAGGAGGAACACCAGUGGCGAAGGCGGCUUACUGGACUGUAACUGACACUGAGGCUCGAAAGCGUGGGGAGCAAACAGGAUUAGAUACCCUAGUA
Molecule: ribosomal RNA, 447 nt
Filed under: uncultured bacterium
Lineage: Bacteria
Description: partial 16S ribosomal RNA
Rfam family: Bacterial small subunit ribosomal RNA
Source: RNAcentral